AAGGAAUGGAGCAACUUUCAGUGAGGUGCUUGGUCAAAGAUUGCGAUCUUUGGCUUGGUGUGAGAAAACACAUGUGCAGGAUGGAAUAAUCUUUGUGGAAGAGGAGGCAAAGCUAUUCAGAGAUACCCACCAAGGCAGAAUAUGCCACUUGGAAGUAAGCUUACCUUUCCUAAAGGAUCUAAUGACUACUUGCUGGCUUUGUCAACUUUUGAACAACCACCAUGCCAUCUACAAGGGCAAUUUUGUGAGUGGGAUGAGACAUUCUACAUUGACAUUCUAUGUCCUCACAUCCAGGUUGUAGUUGCUCCUCAUUAUCUUUGUAUUCCUUUGCCAAAUUUUCUAAAAGAUGUAUCAAUUUAGAUUUGUCUGAGCAUUGAAGUGCAUCCCCACUGGAGGCAAAAAGAGCUUGUGGUGUUUGCGUGAACUCAUACUGUAGUUGCCCACAGCCUGCUUUUGGUCAACAUGUCUGUUAGACCUGGCAAGGAACAGUAGUCUCCCAUAGAGAUUUUUGGUCUCUCUGAGAGCCACAGUUUUACAGAG
Long non-coding RNA from Alosa sapidissima (American shad), 540 nucleotides. RefSeq lists it as uncharacterized. The transcript has 3 exons. NCBI's taxonomy places the organism in Eukaryota, Metazoa, Chordata, Actinopteri, Clupeiformes, Clupeidae. The record is from RefSeq and is a predicted model, not a curated record.